AGUUUCAGGUUAAGAACGGACCUCCAGAAUGAAUUAAGUUCUUAACCCGAGAUACCACUGUAGUUAUAAACCUGCCUUCAUUUUGCUACUAUAGCUGAUGUUUCAAGACCUAGAUUAUGUCAACUCUGAGUAAAACUUAGUUGGAUACAACCCAAUGUCCUCUUAGCUGCCUUCAGAAACACCCUACUGUGGAUGCCUCCUAUAUAGCAGAUCAACGACCAGAGACUCUGUCAGGUCAACGUUUAUGGGCGGAAAUCAGUUGAUGAUGAGCCUUUAAGGCUGGCUGGAGCUGCACCCCACUAUCAAACCUUUCGCAACAACUGCUGUGCAGAGCACAAGAAUAAUCUCGUUGGGUCAAAGGAGGUCUCUUUGCGACAUCAGGAAGAAGAGAAGACUGGGCAGGCACUUACCUCGAAAUCCAG
This is a long non-coding RNA of Podarcis muralis (Common wall lizard), 422 nucleotides long. RefSeq lists it as uncharacterized. NCBI's taxonomy places the organism in Eukaryota, Metazoa, Chordata, Lepidosauria, Squamata, Lacertidae. The record is from RefSeq and is a predicted model, not a curated record.